RNAcentral lists this ribosomal RNA (497 nucleotides) under uncultured bacterium. RNAcentral describes it as "partial 16S ribosomal RNA". It matches the Rfam family "Bacterial small subunit ribosomal RNA", at positions 28 to 507 of the family's 1533-position model. The record is from RNAcentral.
GAUGAACGCUGGCGGCGUGCCUAAUACAUGCAAGUCGAGCGAACAGACGAGGAGCUUACUCCUCUGACGUUAGCGGCGGACGGGUGAGUAACACGUGGAUAACCUACCUAUAAGACUGGUAUAACUUCGGGAAACCGGAGCUAAUACCGGAUAACAUGUUGAACCGCAUGGUUCAACAGUGAAAGACGGUCUUGCUGGCACUUCUAGAUGGAUCCGCGUCGCAUUAGCUAGUUGGUAAGGUAACGGCUUACCAAGGCAACGAUGCGUAGCCGACCUGAGAGGGUGAUCGGCCACACUGGAACUGAGACACGGUCCAGACUCCUACGGGAGGCAGCAGUAGGGAAUCUUCCGCAAAGGGCGAAAGCCUGACGGAGCAACGCCGCGUGAGUGAAGAAGGUCUUCGGAUCGUAAAACUCUGUUAUUAGGGAAGAACAAAUGUGUAAGUAACUAUGCACGUCUUGACGGUACCUAAUCAGAAAGCCACGGCUAACUACGUG